This 493-nucleotide ribosomal RNA is filed under the name uncultured bacterium. Its description in RNAcentral is "bacterial SSU rRNA". It matches the Rfam family "Bacterial small subunit ribosomal RNA", at positions 8 to 526 of the family's 1533-position model. The record is from RNAcentral.
AGAGUUUGAUCCUGGCUCAGGAUGAACGCUGGCAGCGUGCUUAACACAUGCAAGUCGAACGGAGGGCGCAAGCCCUCAGUGGCGCACGGGUGCGGAGAACGCAGCUAACCUGCCUCGAAAUGGGGGAUAACGCGGCGAAAGCUGUGCUAAUACCGCAUACGCUUCCGGGAAUUAGUAUUCCGGAAGGAAAGGCUUCGGUCGUUUCGAGAGGGGGCUGCGGCCCAUCAGGCCGUUGGUGUGGUAACGGCGCACCAAACCGAAGACGGGUCGCGGGUCUGAGAGGAUGACCCGCCACACUGGGACUGAGAGACGGCCCAGACUCCUACGGGAGGCAGCAGUGAGGAAUAUUGGUCAAUGGGGGCAACCCUGAACCAGCGACGCCGCGUGAGGGACGAAGGCUUUCGGGUCGUAAACCUCUUUUCUGCGUGACGAGCAAGGACGGUAGCGCAGGAAUAAGUCUCGGCUAACUACGUGCCAGCCGCCGCGGUAAUUC